AUAAAUAAUAAAGACAGCUAAUGUUCUAUGAGGCAGAUAAUGUGUAUGAAACAUAUGGAAUUCCAGAUAAGGAUAGAGACAUAGUAACCUUAGCGGGAAUGAGGGAAAAUCAUAAAGAGCGGAUUAACUCAGCAUUGUACCAGACACUUUCUAGGUACAUCGAGCGGACAAACAGGUUCAGUCAAUCAUUCUCUUGCUGAUAUCAUGCACGAGUAAGCACCCUGGGAAUAAAACCACGUGAAACCAGAUCACAAGCACCUUGAACCGGAAGCAGAAUGAACCGGAAGUAUACAGCACCUUGAGUCUACGUCUAGCGCAACACAGUAGACGGAACCAGCCUCACGGAAAACAGGGAUAUCAAAUAAUUUGUCAGUUUGUACCGUAUCGAUAAGUCGCUAUUCCUGACAUGGGAAUGCUUACAAGCUGAUAUUGUGUCUGCCAACCUGCGGUGCGGCCGAUUUUCUCUGGUAGCUUCAAAUUGACAGCGAUAAUCCCGGGGCUGCCGACAAACAACACAAGUGCCAGCGCAAGGUCACCAAAAAUUCCCCGCACCAAAGCUGCUUGGAGUGGCCAGACGUUGUGUGGCAAGUGGUUCGACGAGGGCGGUGAAUUCUAAAGCACACCUUAGAGAUGGGAGUGGGAAGGCAUCACGCCUUCGUCAGUUGACCCCCAUCAACCACUGCAGACAGCCUUGAUGACUUGGACUACAGUGAUGAAGACACUGCAAGAGUGUCUUGGUAUCUCCUUUCCCGUGUUGAGCCGCGCAGUUUAAUGGUGGCUGCCUCCAAUUCUUCAUCAUCAUCACUGUCUUCACUCUCUACUGGAGAUGGAUGGGAAGUGGCUGAUGCAGGAGUGAGGGAGCCACUAGCUGGGCAGCAAUAUGGACAGUCUCCAUAAUCCAGCACCGGCAUGUUCUCAGGAGUAUGGAUGCCAGACUGACCAAGAGUUGGCACAGUCAGUGGGACUUUUGUGAUGUGCUCCCAUUCCCAUAUGCAUAUUGCAGUUGUUACGGCACUGCAGGAGAACUUCCGUGUUUGAUAUCUUAACUUCUGGACAUGCUAUAUGGCUAUCCUUUUCAAAUAGUGUAUUUGGUAUAUCUUAUAAGUAAUUGGUGAAGUGUUGAUCCCCUAGUGGCUUCUUUUGGAACUACAGGGGCCAAUUUAGUGUUGAUAGCUUACAUUAUAUAUGUUAUAUCAGGAAAAUGUGACUUGCUCAAUAUUACU
Long non-coding RNA from Branchiostoma floridae (Florida lancelet), 1223 nucleotides. RefSeq lists it as uncharacterized. The transcript has 3 exons. NCBI's taxonomy places the organism in Eukaryota, Metazoa, Chordata, Leptocardii, Amphioxiformes, Branchiostomatidae. The record is from RefSeq and is a predicted model, not a curated record.